CAGCUCGUGACGUGAGUUGUUCUCUUAAGUGAGGUAACGAGCGCAACCCCCACUUCUGUGUUACUAUGUCACAGAAGACUGCCCAGCAUUAUUUUGUUGGGAGGAAGGAGGGGACGACGUCAAGUCAUCAUGAUGCUUAUAUCCGGGGCUACACACAUCCUACAAUGGGUGGUACAGAGGGUCGCAAUACCGCGAGGUGGAGCUAAUCCUUAAAACCUCCCUCAGUUGGGAUUGCAGGCUGAAACUCGCCUGCAUGAACUUGGAAUUGGUAGUAAUCGCAAAUCAGCAGAUUGCGGUGAAUACGUUCUCGCCUCUU
This 316-nucleotide ribosomal RNA is filed under the name uncultured Microgenomates group bacterium. Its description in RNAcentral is "bacterial SSU rRNA". It matches the Rfam family "Bacterial small subunit ribosomal RNA", at positions 1056 to 1382 of the family's 1533-position model. The record is from RNAcentral.